AACGAACGCUGGCGGCAUGCCUAACACAUGCAAGUCGAACGAGACCUUCGGGUCUAGGGGCGCACGGGUGCGUAACGCGUGGGAACCUGCCCUUAGGUUCGGAAUAACUCCCCGAAAGGGGUGCUAAUACCGGAUAAUGUCUUCGGACCAAAGAUUUAUCGCCUUUGGAUGGGCCCGCGUUGGAUUAGCUAGUUGGUAGGGUAAAAGCCUACCAAGGCGACGAUCCAUAGCUGGUCUGAGAGGAUGAUCAGCCACACUGGGACUGAGACACGGCCCAGACUCCUACGGGAGGCAGCAGUGGGGAAUAUUGGACAAUGGGCGAAAGCCUGAUCCAGCAAUGCCGCGUGAGUGAUGAAGGCCUUAGGGUUGUAAAGCUCUUUUACCCGGGAUGAUAAUGACAGUACCGGGAGAAUAAGCUCCGGCUAACUCCGUG
This 433-nucleotide ribosomal RNA is filed under the name uncultured bacterium. Its description in RNAcentral is "partial 16S ribosomal RNA". It matches the Rfam family "Bacterial small subunit ribosomal RNA", at positions 29 to 507 of the family's 1533-position model. The record is from RNAcentral.